RNAcentral lists this ribosomal RNA (638 nucleotides) under uncultured beta proteobacterium. Its description in RNAcentral is "bacterial SSU rRNA". It matches the Rfam family "Bacterial small subunit ribosomal RNA", at positions 763 to 1399 of the family's 1533-position model. Lineage: Bacteria; Pseudomonadati; Pseudomonadota; Betaproteobacteria. The record is from RNAcentral.
GGGGAGCGAAUAGGAUUAGAUACCCUGGUAGUCCACGCCCUAAACGAUGUCAACUAGGUGUUGGAAGGGUUAAACCUUUUAGUGCCGUAGCUAACGCGUGAAGUUGACCGCCUGGGGAGUACGGCCGCAAGGCUAAAACUCAAAGGAAUUGACGGGGACCCGCACAAGCGGUGGAUGAUGUGGAUUAAUUCGAUGCAACGCGAAAAACCUUACCUACCCUUGACAUGUCAGGAAUCCCGGAGAGAUUUGGGAGUGCUCGAAAGAGAACCUGAACACAGGUGCUGCAUGGCUGUCGUCAGCUCGUGUCGUGAGAUGUUGGGUUAAGUCCCGCAACGAGCGCAACCCUUGUCAUUAAUUGCCAUCAUUUAGUUGGGCACUUUAAUGAGACUGCCGGUGACAAACCGGAGGAAGGUGGGGAUGACGUCAAGUCCUCAUGGCCCUUAUGGGUAGGGCUUCACACGUCAUACAAUGGUCGGUCCAGAGGGUUGCCAACCCGCGAGGGGGAGCCAAUCUCAGAAAGCCGAUCGUAGUCCGGAUUGCAGUCUGCAACUCGACUGCAUGAAGUCGGAAUCGCUAGUAAUCGCGGAUCAGCAUGUCGCGGUGAAUACGUUCCCGGGUCUUGUACACACCGCCCGUCA